This 489-nucleotide ribosomal RNA is filed under the name uncultured bacterium. Its description in RNAcentral is "bacterial SSU rRNA". It matches the Rfam family "Bacterial small subunit ribosomal RNA", at positions 791 to 1274 of the family's 1533-position model. The record is from RNAcentral.
UAGUCCACGCCGUAAACGAUGAGCACUAGUUGUAGCGGGUAUUGACUCCUGCUGCGACGCAGCUAACGCAUUAAGUGCUCCGCCUGGGGAGUACGGUCGCAAGACUAAAACUCAAAGGAAUUGACGGGGGCCCGCACAAGCGGUGGAUCAUGUGGUUUAAUUCGAAGCAACGCGCAAAACCUUACCUGGGCUUAAAAUCCUGAGAACUCUCUAGAAGUAGAGAGGUGCCCUUCGGGGAAUUCAGUGAUAGGCGCUGCAUGGCUGUCGUCAGCUCGUGUUGUGAAAUGUUGGGUUAAGUCUCGCAACGAGCGCAACCCCUAUCCUUAGUUGCCAGCAUUAAGUUGGGCACUCUAGGGAGACUGCCUGGGUUAACCAGGGAGGAAGGUGGGGAUGACGUCAAGUCCCCAUGGCCCUUAUGUCCAGGGGCUACACACGUGAUACAAUGGGAUAGUACAGAGGGAUGCCAGACCGCGAGGGUUGAGCAAAUCU